Molecule: ribosomal RNA, 253 nt
Filed under: uncultured bacterium
Lineage: Bacteria
Description: partial 16S ribosomal RNA
Rfam family: Bacterial small subunit ribosomal RNA
Source: RNAcentral
UACGAACCGUACAAACGUUAUUCGGAAUCACUGGGCUUAAAGGGUGCGUAGGCGGCCAUGUAAGUGAGGUGUGAAAUCCCUCGGCUCAACCGAGGAACUGCGCUUCAUACUGCAUGGCUUGAGGGAGACAGGGGUAAGCGGAACUGAUGGUGGAGCGGUGAAAUGCGUAGAUAUCGUCUGGAACGCCAAAGGUGAAAACAGACUGCUGGGAGUGUGCUGACGCUGAGACACGAAAGCCAGGGGAGCAAACGGG